Punica granatum (pomegranate) is the source of this 158-nucleotide non-coding RNA. The record is from Rfam. Lineage: Eukaryota; Viridiplantae; Streptophyta; Magnoliopsida; Myrtales; Lythraceae.
AUACUUACCUGGACGGGGUCAAUGGGUGAUCAAGGAUGCCCAUGGCCUAGGCAGGCAACCUUCAUUGCACUUCGAAGGGGCGCCUGCCUAAGGUCGGUUCAAGUGGCUGAGCCUAUGUCAUAAUUUGUGACAGCGGGGCCUGCAUUCGCACCGCUCGU